CUCUGUUGUGUAGGUCCAGUUUGUGUUGCCCAGCAUUUAAUCUUCCCCACCAAGCAAGUCACCACCACCAUCACUGUCUUCACAAUAAGUAUGCCAGAGAAGAUAGGUAAUGAGUUAGGAAUAUUGGGAAGACCAAAUUAAAUUGAACAAGAAAUAAGUGGAAAUGAAUGAGUCCAAGUACUUUGUGUUUGUUUGUCUGUAGUACAGUUUUCUGGUGGAGAUUAGUUUGCUUCUGUUCAAUCUAUCCGUUUCGUUUACGACA
RNAcentral lists this long non-coding RNA (262 nucleotides) under Medicago truncatula (barrel medic). Its description in RNAcentral is "long non-coding RNA (MTRU_LNC002763)". The record is from RNAcentral. Lineage: Eukaryota; Viridiplantae; Streptophyta; Magnoliopsida; Fabales; Fabaceae.